CACCCGCAGCGGCAAGCGUCGACAAAGGGGGGCGCGGCCGGAAUUGGAACAGGGCUGGCCAAGCACGCUGCGGGGAAGCACGGGGCCGGAUGUCGGGGGACAUCCGGCCCCAUCUUU
This 117-nucleotide antisense RNA is filed under the name Luteimonas sp. 9C. Its description in RNAcentral is "asX1". It matches the Rfam family "Xanthomonadaceae sRNA asX1". Lineage: Bacteria; Pseudomonadati; Pseudomonadota; Gammaproteobacteria; Lysobacterales; Lysobacteraceae. The record is from RNAcentral.